UAUCUCUGUAGAGUCUGCAUAUCAAUAAGCGGAGGAAAAGAAACUAACAAGGAUUCCCCUUAGUAACGGCGAGUGAAGCGGGAAGAGCUCAAAUUUGAAAUCUUCAAGGGUUUACCUUUACGAAUUGUAGUUUAAAGAAGUGUUUUCUGUUGAGGUUUCGGUAAAAGUUCUUUGGAAUAGGACAUCAUAGAGGGUGAGAAUCCCGUAUUUGACCUUUACUUUUCAACUUUGUGAUACACUUUCAAAGAGUCGGAUUGUUUGGGAAUGCAGUCCAAAAUGGGUGGUAAAUUUCAUCUAAAGCUAAAUAUUGGCGAGAGACCGAUAGCGAACAAGUACCGUGAGGGAAAGAUGAAAAGAACUUUGAAAAGAGAGUUAAACAGUACGUGAAAUUGUCAAAAGGGAAGCGUUUGACACCAGUGUUGUUUUUCUCGAAAAUCAAUUAAAAAUGGCUUGAUUUUGUGUUGUAUUGACCUUAAAAGCUUUCUUCACUUUUUUCAUGUCUUUUUUAAUGCGCUUUUCGUUUAACAAGUCAACAUCAGUUUCUUUUGUUGUAAAAAGGUCAUUGGAAGGUGGCUUUCUUUUCGGAGAAAGUGUUUAUAGCCUUUGACUUCUGCAAUCGGAGAGACUGAGGUCUGCAGCGUAGAUCCUUCUGGAUUAGAUUCAUUUGUGCUAAGUUACAACCGUUUAUAGACAACGUGUUGACUAUAUUCGAUCCUGUAGCUUACUCGCUUAUGUAAUUUUACCUACGCUUAGGAUGUUGACGAUCAGCUGAGCGCG
This 777-nucleotide ribosomal RNA is filed under the name uncultured Neocallimastigales. Its description in RNAcentral is "partial large subunit ribosomal RNA". It matches the Rfam family "Eukaryotic large subunit ribosomal RNA", at positions 24 to 634 of the family's 3401-position model. Lineage: Eukaryota; Fungi; Neocallimastigomycota; Neocallimastigomycetes; Neocallimastigales. The record is from RNAcentral.